GUGGGUAUAAUUCAAUCGGUAGAAUAACUGUAUGUGGAACAGUGCGUUCCCUGUUCAAGUCAGGGUAUUCACC
This 73-nucleotide transfer RNA is filed under the name Microbacterium laevaniformans OR221. Its description in RNAcentral is "tRNA-His". The record is from RNAcentral. Lineage: Bacteria; Bacillati; Actinomycetota; Actinomycetes; Micrococcales; Microbacteriaceae.